This 910-nucleotide ribosomal RNA is filed under the name Nannizzia fulva. RNAcentral describes it as "LSU rRNA". It matches the Rfam family "Eukaryotic large subunit ribosomal RNA", at positions 38 to 964 of the family's 3401-position model. Lineage: Eukaryota; Fungi; Ascomycota; Eurotiomycetes; Onygenales; Arthrodermataceae. The record is from RNAcentral.
GCAUAUCAAUAAGCGGAGGAAAAGAAACCAACAGGGAUUGCCCCCAGUAACGGCGAGUGAAGCGGCAAAAGCUCAAAUUUGAAAUCUGGCCUCCUACGGGGGUCCGAGUUGUAAUUUGUAGAGGAUGCUUCGGGUGUGGCCGCCGUCUAAGUUCCUUGGAACAGGACGUCAGAGAGGGUGAGAAUCCCGUCUUGGGCGGCCGGUCCGCGCCCGUGUGAAGCUCCUUCGACGAGUCGAGUUGUUUGGGAAUGCAGCUCUAAGCGGGUGGUAAAUUUCAUCUAAAGCUAAAUACUGGUCGGAGACCGAUAGCGCACAAGUAGAGUGAUCGAAAGGUUAAAAGCACCUUGAAAAGGGAGUUAAACAGCACGUGAAAUUGUUGAAAGGGAAGCGCUUGCGGCCAGACUCGGGGGCGGGGUUCAGCGGGCGCUCGUCGCCCGUGCACUCCCCGUCUCCCGGGCCAGCAUCAGUUUCGACGGCCGGUCAAAGGCCUCCGGAAUGUGUCGUCUCUCGGGACGUCUUAUAGCCGGGGGUGCAAUGCGGCCCGUCGGGACUGAGGAACGCGCUUCGGCUCGGAUGCUGGCGUAAUGGCCGUAAGCGGCCCGUCUUGAAACACGGACCAAGGAGUCUAACAUCCACGCGAGUGUUCGGGUGUCAAACCCGUGCGCGCAGUGAAAGCGAACGGAGGUGGGAGCCUUAGGGCGCACCAUCGACCGAUCCUGAAGUCUUCGGAUGGAUUUGAGUAGGAGCGUGGCCGUUGGGACCCGAAAGAUGGUGAACUAUGCCUGAAUAGGGUGAAGCCAGAGGAAACUCUGGUGGAGGCUCGCAGCGGUUCUGACGUGCAAAUCGAUCGUCAAAUUUGGGCAUAGGGGCGAAAGACUAAUCGAACCAUCUAGUAGCUGGUUCCUGCCGA